UGUUAAAUAUUUUGUGCAUUUGUAUUGUUAUAAACUGGCGUAGCUGACUGGAUAACCAAAUAGUGUAUAUGUUAUGCCACAUAUAUUUCAUGUUGAUAAAUAGGGAUCAAUUUUCAAUAGUAGAAAUAGAUGAAAUUUUUAAUA
Molecule: microRNA precursor, 144 nt
Filed under: Gossypium hirsutum (cotton)
Lineage: Eukaryota; Viridiplantae; Streptophyta; Magnoliopsida; Malvales; Malvaceae
Description: MIR7502 microRNA precursor family
Rfam family: MIR7502 microRNA precursor family
Source: Rfam by way of RNAcentral